GGAGGAAUGUAUAGCGAAAGCUAAUUGUAUCAAUAUAUAGUUGAUGCAAUAUCGACUAAGUUGAAUAAAAUUCUAGGUAGAAUUAUGAUAAUGACAUUUUCUGCCUAUGUGUCUUGACCAAAUUACGUGCCAGCAGUCGCGGUAAUACGUAGAAGACUAGUGUUAUUCAUCUUUAAUUGGUUUAAAGGGUACCUAGACGGUAAAUCAAGCCUUCAAGGGGACUAAUUUACUAGAGUUACUUAUGAGGGGGCAGUAAAGUACUGCUGGUGUAGAGAUGAAAUUCUGUCAUACCUAAUUCAUAUAACGUCUUCUAGACGAAAGAACCUACGGCACAGGUAUAGGCGAAAGCAUCUCCUUAUGUGAUAACUGACGUUGAGGGACGAAGGCUUUGUGUAGCGAACAGGAUUAGAUACCCAAGUAGUCAAAGCAGAAAAUGAUGAAUGUCAUAGAUUAGACAUAUAGUUUAUUCUAUAAAUGAAAGUGUAAGCAUUCCACCUCAAGAGUAAUUUGGCAACAUUGGAACUGAAAUCAUUAGACCGUUUCUGAAACCAGUAGUGAAGUAUGUUGUUUAAUUUGAUAGUCCUCAAAAAACCUUACCACAAUUUGAAUAUUUAUGUUUCCAUUAGUUCUGUUUUUAAAACUUGUUUCAUAAAAACAGGAAAAUAUAUAAAACUAAGUUUUUUUUUGUUAAUAAUAAACGGGCUGGAACUAAUUAAGACAUAUCUACAAGCGUUGCACGGCUGUCUUCAGUUAAUGUCGUGAGAUUUUGGUUAGUUCCAUUAAAUUAACGUAAACCCUUACUUUAUUUUUAGAUAAAGUAGUUCCCCAAUAUAUUGGAUAAGAUAACAGGACUAAGACAAGUCAUCAUG
RNAcentral lists this ribosomal RNA (869 nucleotides) under Lecanora saxigena. RNAcentral's name for it is "SSU rRNA". It matches the Rfam family "Bacterial small subunit ribosomal RNA", at positions 355 to 1197 of the family's 1533-position model. The record is from RNAcentral. Lineage: Eukaryota; Fungi; Ascomycota; Lecanoromycetes; Lecanorales; Lecanoraceae.